GUGAAUCAUCGAAUCUUUGAACGCAUAUUGCGCCCGAGACUUCGGUCGAGGGCAUGUCUGCCUCAGCGUCGGUUUUAACCCUCGCUCCCCUUCCCAGCUUUUAACCAAGCUAGGGAGUCGGCCGCUUUCUACAAAGUGGCUUGGGCGCGGAUGUGGCUUUCCCACUCGAGCUGGUCAUUCGUGGCUGCGCCGGGUGGGUCAGCUGAAACACAGAGGCUAGAGCAAGGACCCGUUAUGGGCUCAACUGGAUAGGUAGGCGUGGUUGGCUUCGGCCGGCCCAACUACACGAAGUUGACGCUU
RNAcentral lists this unclassified non-coding RNA (300 nucleotides) under uncultured fungus. Its description in RNAcentral is "sequence contains 5.8S rRNA gene, ITS2". The stretch from base 1 to 71 matches the Rfam family "5.8S ribosomal RNA", at positions 84 to 154 of the family's 154-position model. Lineage: Eukaryota; Fungi. The record is from RNAcentral.